RNAcentral lists this transfer RNA (68 nucleotides) under Marmota monax (woodchuck). Its description in RNAcentral is "tRNA.Val". The record is from RNAcentral. Lineage: Eukaryota; Metazoa; Chordata; Mammalia; Rodentia; Sciuridae.
GGAUAUAGCUCACUUGAUAGAGUGCUUGCCUUACAUGCACAUGGCCCUGGGUUCGAUCCCCAGCACCA